Molecule: unclassified non-coding RNA, 409 nt
Filed under: Hevea brasiliensis (rubber tree)
Lineage: Eukaryota; Viridiplantae; Streptophyta; Magnoliopsida; Malpighiales; Euphorbiaceae
Source: RNAcentral
UUAUGCAAUGGCAUUGUACAUUUUUAUAAUUUCUGUAUCCAAAACAAAAAAGAAAAGAAAAGAAACAUUUUUGUGAAUUUUGUCAAUCUAUAAAUUAUCGUCCCCACACAAAAAUGGGAUCUCAUAAAUUUUCCUUUUCCAAAACUAUAAACUACAUUGCAACUAAUUUAAGAAAGAUCCAUUAGCCUGUGAUGCUGUCUAGAUUAGGGAUGAAAUGCCGCCUUUCAGUUUUUUAAUCACCAUCUCUACAAAGCAUGCAGCCUCAAACCUAUAAUAAUAGCUGCAUAUCACCAUAAAAUUAGAGGCAGCACCAAAGUUGAAUGAAAAAUACUUGAAAAUUCUGAUUUCAAGGAAUUGGCUUCACUGGACUGGAAGCUCCAUUUUGAGCUUGUUCUGAAGGUGAAGUCCU